This 28-nucleotide non-coding RNA is filed under the name Mus musculus (house mouse). The record is from RNAcentral. Lineage: Eukaryota; Metazoa; Chordata; Mammalia; Rodentia; Muridae.
UGGCAAAGAAUGGGAUCCUACAACAUGG